UACGUAGGGCGCAAGCGUUGUCCGGAAUUAUUGGGCGUAAAGAGCUCGUAGGUGGCUUGUUGCGUCUGCUGUGAAAGUCCGUGGCUUAACUGCGGGUCUGCGGUGGAUACGGGCAGGCUAGAGGCUGGUAGGGGCAAGCGGAAUUCCUGGUGUAGCGGUGAAAUGCGCAGAUAUCAGGAGGAACACCGGUGGCGAAGGCGGCUUGCUGGGCCAGUUCUGACGCUGAGGAGCGAAAGCUAGGGGAGCAACCAGG
Molecule: ribosomal RNA, 253 nt
Filed under: uncultured bacterium
Lineage: Bacteria
Description: partial 16S ribosomal RNA
Rfam family: Bacterial small subunit ribosomal RNA
Source: RNAcentral